UUUUGUAAUACAGAGGCCAUAUAUUUUACAUUAAUGUACACUAGUAAAUGAUUUGCGUGAUAUGAUUUGUGUGCAUGGACCGGCAGAUACAUGAAACAAAUGUGUCUCUACAUACAUUACGAAUGAAUAUAAUGCAGUUAGCAGCAGCUGGUUGUUAGGCGUUGAAUGAAAUAUAAAAGUCACCAAGCAGGGAAUUUAAAAAUCAGAAACUUGAAGAAAAUAAAACGAAAUAUAAGAUAUGAUUUUACUAUGUAGGACAAAGCAUGAAAAUAGGGGAGCUGGUGUAGCAUAUGUCAUUAGUGCAAGUGCUACACUUGUGCCGAAGACAAUUCUUGACUAUAAUAAUUUAUUGACAAGAUGUGUUAUUUUGCAUAACAAUUUAUAAUGAAAUGAUCCAAAAAGAGUAGUUAAAGAAUCCAAAACACAAGAUUCGGUUCCAGUACUUACUACAGAAGUCACGUUAUAGCCAUAGGAAUCAACUCUUUUGUUUGUCAACCAGUAAUCAAGAAAUGGGCCUAUUAACAGCAGUGAUGCAGCCUGGCCAGGGGCAGUAUGUCCCAACAGGUUGAAAGAACUAAGAGAAUAUUUCCGCUGAAGAUAAUGUACAUACUGCAAAUAAAAGAUUUAACAUGAUGUCAGGCAAAAAAUUUUAAUCUGCAUGACAAGAAUAAGAUACAAAUUUGAAACCUAGGUGGUAGUGGUCAUUUAUUUACUUCAACUGCACAAAACGUUACUAUUAUUUUCCGCUAAGUAAAAUUUCAAGAAAUUCCUCGAACUUAACUGCAGAAAAUUAAACAACUUACAUAUUGUUGCAAAGAAGUACUCCAUACUGCAACAAAUGCAGCUAUGAAACCUCUGGUAUUUACACUCACAUCAGUAACAGUGCAAACACUGACUCCCACAAGAACCACUGCUAUGCUUAACUUUGUGUCUCUGGAGUAACGAAUUUUAUCAAACAUCACUUCUAACAAGCAGGAUACGGGGAUCAUACUGAGUUUUGCAAUCUGGUAAUACAAGUGCCAAUAGGUAAUUCCCAGAGCCAUUUAAAUACAAAAGUAACAAAAACUAUGAGUGUACAACAAUUUACCUGAUAAAAUCCAACUGAGUUCCACAUAAGACUAACAUUCAUUCCAACAAUCGAGAAGUUCGCAAAUAGCACAAACUUAAGAAGCUCAAAGAGGGGAAGAUGUGAAGCCUGGAUGUAUCCCAGCCACCUUAGAACAGCAGUCAUCAACGUUGUGGUAGCAAAAUGCAACCCAGUUAAUGUUGUAGCUGCAACAAGUUGUAAUUAAAUCACAACAUGAUUUAAGAGAAAAGACAGCAGUUGUACUUAUGCAAAUGGAGUAGAAUAGAUUGUGAAAUGAUGGAUCAUAGUAGAAAAAAAAACUAGAAUUCCAUCUAAUCAUCAUUUUAGCUACUUUGAGUUUACCCAUGGGAGCAAAAAAAUAUUCUGUUCUGAGAAAAGAUUAUAGUAAAUAGUCACAAAUUCUAUGCUUUUCCACAGUUGGAUAAAAUUUAAACCUAUCAGACAACUUGAACUAAGCCCUCAAGGUCUAAACUGAUUAACCAUUUAAUCUCCCAAAACAACUAAACUGAUUAACCAUUUAAUCUCCCAAAACAAUCCAUCUACUUUUUGUUCCACUCCUUGAUAAAAAAAUCAAUUCAUAAAUUUCCUUGCUUUUUGCCCCUUAAAAAGUGUGAAUAAGUGCCCUCCUUAGACAUUACCAUAGUACUUCUUAUUGAAAUUAAAGGUUCAUAUUGAAUCAUAGCUAAUCACUUACAUGAAAAUCCAUGGCUGCAGUCCCACCAAUAUAAAAAAAAAGGAAAAGAAUAACAAACACAUUCCCUAACCUCAAUGGCUGAAAACAAAAACUACUAACGCAUACAGAUUCAAACACAUGAUCUUCAUGUUCGAAGCAUGAAAUGCAUUGCCAGUUGACCUACCACUCAGGUGGUCAAUUUUCUCACUUAUGCAUGCACCAUUUUUCAUGGGACUCUUAAGUAAUUUAUCCAGUUUUCUUUUCUUCCAGGGAAAAAAAAGUAAUCUGUCCACUUUUUUACCUCGCUCCAGUUUGGAAUCUCUAUCUAGGAGGAAUCUUAUAAGGAAAGUUGUAGAACAAGUUUAAUUUGCAGAAGACAUGUAAAAUAAAUUCAGCUUCUUUCACAGGUGUGUUUGCAUAAAUUGAGUUUAUAGACAUAAUUAGUUCACAAUGCACUGACCAACACUUCAUCAACAUUGUUGAAGCUAUAUUGCAUGUACUCUAUUUUCCCAACCUUUAAGUGAGAAAUUUGCAGUGGGGCAUCUGUCUAAUAAAAAAAUUUAUCUUUGGCCAUAAGCAACAAAUUCAAUGCAUCUAUUUAAGCAGAAGAAGAAAUAGAUUCCUCUAAAAAUUUUACGAAAUGAUUGGUAUAUGGCCAAGAACACGCAAUCAGGAAUUACUAUUUAUAGAGAAGUGAUGACAUACAGGUAUGCUUGAAACAAACUGAACAUUAAUUUACCAAAACUGAAGCCAUAUGUAGCCAUUAAGGCCUUAUUGACAAUGAUAAUCCCCACAGAAGUGACAACAUUGAACAUCCAAGCAGCUGCAUCUACUGCUGCUUUCUUAUCAGCCUUACUAACUGGAGCCAUUUUGAUAUAUUUUACUUGCAAUCAAUAAGCCUUCAACUGUUUAUCCUUCUAACUCCAUGAAGUCAUCCAUCUGCAACAGGACUGAAUCCAAAUGAAACAAACUUGAUGAAAUUGCAAUUUGUUGGCGCUUACAGCAAAAGAAAAUUAUUAAAUAGAAACUAGAACAUCUUGAACAUUCUACAUAUAUUAAAAACAAUCUACUGCCUGUCAAAUAUGCAAUAACUAAACGUGAAAAUUAUAACUUCCCGCUGAUAUGAUGUUUCUAUAAAACCUUCGAAAAACUCACAAUUAAUACGCACUACGGAUAUAGCAGGUAACUAAACUUAUAAGCUGUUACUCCGACAUGUCACCAUGUAUAAACAUAGAAUUUGAACUGCAUUAGCUCUCUUCUGACCAGAUAACUAAGAGAUUGUUUUCCAAAAAGAUCUCUAUGGCCGAAUGCCAUCAACUUACUUUCAGACUCUACUGCUUCUUGACAAGCAUGAUCUUCUGCUCACAAAUGGCUCAAAUUUAAAAAGGUUCAGUAAAAAGGAGGCAAAACGAAUGAAAUAACUCACUAGAUUCUGAUCCAUGAUGCCACCUAAACCUAAAUUCAAUCUCACGAUUAAAAGACAUGUAACGAGGACAAGGAAACAGGAUCAAUCACACACAAUAGAUCCGUGAAACGUCAGAUCGAUCUAGCUCUGGCGAUCACAAAAUCAAACAGUUGCCAAUCAGAUCUACAUGCCAAACACGGAAACCACACCUUUUUAUAACAGAGGCGGAAUCAAUUCAUGGACUAGAAACAGAUCUAUCGCGUGAUCUCGUUAAUCUUUACAUCCACGAGUUGAAACUGAAUAAAUUAGAAUGUGUACGGGUUGGAAAGGUACGUACCAUGGACAGGAGAGGAGAAAGCGAGAGACGGAGAAGGAGAAAUGGCGAGGAACUGAGCCGAAACGGUACGGUUACAGCGUCGUUUUUGUUGGAGAGUUUGGAGGUGGUGGUGGUCGUGGUGGUGGUUUUGCAGUGGAUGCGCUACUUAUUAGUUGUGUGUUCGCAUCCUCAAGAAUUGGAGAGAAAUUGGAAAUCAGUUGGGAAACGAAGGCCUCGUGGAUUAGUAAGCAUCACGCGGACGUUAACCUCAUGCGCCUCACUCUUUUUAAUAAACCAACAAAUUUAUUAGUUUAUAAAGAUAAAUUUCUACAGUUUUACUGAAAUGUAAUUAAUUUUUUUUGGAUUAAAAUUAUAAUUUAUAUUUAAUAAAGAAAUUAAAUGUAAUUAAAAAAUUUAAAUUUAUUUUAAUUAUAAGAAUAAUUUUUUUAAAAAAAAAUUUAAUAUUGUUUAAAUAAUUAUAGUAGUUAAUUAUUUAUUGUUGUACAAUUUUCUUACAAUUAUAAUAUUGAAAAUAAAUUUUAUAAUAAUGCAAUUAUAUUUUAUAUCAAAAUAUUUAUUUACAAUAAAUUUUAUUAAUACAAUAUAAUUAAUUUUUUGAAAAAUUAUUUUUAGAACACUUUAGGCAAGUUUUUGAAUAUAAACUUUAUGAAAGUUAUUUGUAUUAAAAAUUAUUAAGUUAGUCAUCAAAUUUUAAUAUUUAUUAUAAUUUAUUAGAUAUUUUCUUUAUUACAAUUUAAUCUUUUAAUAUUUUUUUAUUUUUUUAUUGAAAAAGUUAAAAGAGGUGGAUUAUAUUUGAAUAUCUUAAAAAACUGUUUAAAAAAAUUUGACUAAUUACUCAAUCAUUUAAUAUAAAUUUAUUAUUUUAAAUAUAACUUAAUUAUUUUAAUUUUUCUGUUAAAAAAUAUAAAAAAAAUAUUUUAAACAAACAAAAAAUAUUAAAAAUUAAAUUAUAAUAAAAAAAUUAAGAACUAAAUUACAAUAAAAAUAAAAAAAUGAAUUAUAAUAAAUACAAAAUUUAAGUAUUAAUUUAAUAAGUUUUCUCAAAAUAAAAGAUAAAAUAAGUGUGAAGCCGAAGCGACAGCGAACCGCUGCAAAACCGAACCGGGCCGCUUAUUCAAGCACAACUAUCUAAUGUAUAUCCUCCCGCGGAUGAGAGAAUGAGCUAUCGUCGUCCUUUCCAAACACUAUUAGUGGCUCCACCGCACCAUAUGUAAUCUACAAAAUAAGUUAUUUAAGUAAUAAGCCCACCGUUUUUCUUCUCUCUUGGACCAUUUUUUUCAAUUAUCAAUCACCCAACUAGCGUUCUCAAUCCUUGAUUGACGGAAUCCUAGUUGGGUUGGGGAAUCGGGAGGCGCCGGAGUAAAACGGCGGGCUGGAACAGGGAUGGGGAAGAAGAGAAAGUCGAUUGAUUCGAGCCUGGACGAGGUGGAUCGGACCAUGUACGCGUCGUUUUGUAGCGCAGCGAACUCCCUCUCUCAGCUCUACACCCAGGCCAUGAACCACCAGAAACCCUCAUUUCAAGCCGGCGAACGCCACGGCCUUGUACGGAUUCCUCUAUUAAGUCUUGAUUUCGAUUAGUCAUAUACUUUGUUUGUCUGUGUCCGUUGUAUCUGCUUGCAUGUGUUUGAUUUUGUUGGAGAAUUAUGAUUUUGAUCCAUGUAGAACGGUUCUUUUCCCCUGUCUUUCUGGCUUCGGAAAUGUGCGGGAAGGUGAUCACCUCUACAAUGCCUGAUUUAUUUGAUAGGAUAUCGCACUGAUAUUUUUUUAUGCGCUUCAUUCGCCCUAUGUCCCUUUUUUGUUAAUUAUGGUGGGUUUUUAUUCUGAACUAUGUAUAUGUGUUCAGUGCAAUUGAAUUAUCAGUUUCUUUUGGUGAUACGGAAGGACGGUGUUUUGCCUGACUGUUUUCUCAUUACCCGGGAUGAUUGUGAUUUUCUACUUUGAAUGAGAUGGCAGGAUUGGCACUGAUGAGGAUUUCAACUGUGUUGUUGUUAAGGCACAUUGAACUUAGGUGAUUUAUGCUGCUUCUUAGGUAGGGACAGUGGCAAUUGUUGAACCAGAUUUGCAGGAGAAUUUGAAAGGUCGAAAAGGAUAUUUGCUCAAGCUUCAUUGGCUUGCACUAGGCAAGGAGAUGAUGACAAAUCUGCUCUGAUGUUUUGAUAUUAAGUGAGUGAGAGAGUACAAAAGGUUUAGUUAAUACCAUAUCUUUGUGCAUGCGGAAUCAGUUAACUAAAACAUAGAUGAAAAAUCAAGUUCAUAAGGGCAGAUUCAAAGUGUUUCUAUACUUCUUGGUAGACAAAAUAAAAAAAAAAACAGAAGUUCUGGUAAAUCAAAUUAAUUGAGCAAACAGCAAAAGUGGAAUUUGUUUUAUCAUCUUAGAACCUUCAAAUUUUAUCAAAUUCUUUGUGCAUUGAGAACAUUUGGCAUUCAUGGUGGUUGGCUUAGGUUUGUGUUAAAUGGAGCAUGCAUGGACAUUGAUAAUUCAAUUAGAUAGGCGCAACAUCCUAAUUGUUCAGGCAUGAGUUAGUGUUGCAAUAAGUAAAUUAAAUUUCCUUUCAGAAAUAAGAGAUAGAUGUACUAGCUUGAAGUGAAUUUGUAAUAGGUAUCUCAUGGUUUGUACGAUUCAUAAAAAUGCUUAUAGCAGUAGAUUCAGGAAAUCUGGUUCAUUGAAUUUCCUCUAUCUCAGGCCUGCCUUCUAUGCAAUCUAAUAUUAAUGUAUUGAAACAGUUGAAAGUCCUCAAUCUUCUGGUCAUAGCAGAAUUCGUAUUAGCCACCAUCUCUGAACUCCAAGUGGGUAGUCAAAUCAAAAUCAAUUAUAACAAGCUUAGGUGGCUGCCUUCUAAGUUGGACCUUCUUCUUUCAUCUCCAACUAUUCCUGUACAGUGUUUGAAUGCUGUACUUGGUCCUUUUGGUUAGACAAUUCCUACUGCAUCAAGUUCCAUAUAACCACAUAUUUUAAGAUCUUUUCAACUUCCACAAAUUGAUUUCAAACUAAUUUCAGGCAUUUUGUUUUUCAUUAUUAUUCUUUGAAAAAGAGCUUCUUGUGGGUGAAUUUCUGGCAAAGCUUGUGAUUUUGCCUUGGUGUUUUGUUUCAGGAAAGAAGGGGUCUAUUUUCUAAAUAUGCAAAGAAAUUGAAAAUUACUACCAAAGCGCACGUUUUAGAAAAAAAUCUCAAUAUAUGCAUCUUUUUGCCACUUCAAGACAGGGUUUGGUCAAAGUUAUUGCUGAUUGACAGAAUAAACAACAGUCAAUUUGUCAGUGCUUGAUUCCGUAGUCUUUAAACCUACAUGCAAAAUACUACCUUCCUGUGUUGGCAUGCACUGGCACUGUGAUGGCUAAUUUAUUAUGAAUGCUGUGAAAAACUGAUGUUGUCAUUGACAAGCAGUCAACAACCACCCUAUUGAUCCCUUACUAACUUGACUGAGUUUUUGCUGAAGUAGCAAAAAAUGCAUAUCUUGCCUUUUUUUUAAAGAUGCAUGUUUGAGAAAUUUCGUUUUUCCUCAGUUUAGAAAAUAAUCAGAUGCAGAGUUGAGCCUUAAAAUACUAUUAUCUUCUUGUCCUAGGACUUCUUAGGAUUUAAAAUUAUUUAAAUAUUUUAGUAAGUGGUUGGAAACUAAAUUUAUGCAUGUUAUUAUUUUUAGAGGACUUGGUUGUGUAUAGAACUCAAACAAGAUUUAUAUUAUCACCUUUGUGUUCAAUUAAGAAGAAGAUGAUGUAACUUGUUCUGGCUUAGGGACUACAGAUAUAUGAAGUGUUACCGUGUUAUAUGUUGGUGAAAUUCUAAGAGAAGCUAUAUUUCUUGGAGCAUGCUUAGAAAUCUUCAUGAUCAACUUGCAACUUUUUGUCUGAAUAUAGAGAUGGUUUAUGCAAAAAAAAUUAUAGGGGUGGAAUUGUGUUUAGUCACUUCUACAACUGGAAACUUGUGGAUAACCUUUCUCUUCCUGACCAUUUCCUUCAUCCUGGAAUCAAGAAUUGUUCUACCCUUUAAUCUUGUUGGGUUUGAUUGAUUAACUUAUUCACAAUACUAAUUUGCAUUACUCAAUGGUAAAAUUGAAGAAAACAUAUAUAUGAUAUAGCCGGAAGAUUUCACAUCCAAAGCCUUUAAAAAGGAUCUAUAAGCUGCAAAGGUCCAUUUAUGAAUUGAAGGAGGCCUCUCUCAGUAUAUCCAUUUGAUGAGAGCCAAAUGAGUUAUGAUUUCAUGAAAAAAGAGAAUGAGACCUGGGUUUACAAGAAGGUGAAUGGGGGAAUGGGGGAAUGGUGGUAUUCCUUUUACUAUACAUGGAUAACAUCAAACUCAUUAGGAAUGAUGUAAGGAUGUUGUAGUCAGUUGAAGUUUGACCACACAAAAACUUCUCCAUGGUAAUCAAGCUAUGUAUUUGGGUUGUGGAUCUAUAAACAUAGAUCAAAAUAGGUUUUUUGGCUUAGGUCAAUUAAGUACACAGAACCCGAGCUAUAGAGAUUUAAUUUAGAGAACUCCAAAAGAGGAAAUUAACGAUUUGCAUUAGGGUUAAUCUCUCCAAUUAAGAUGUCUUGCAUACUUCAGAGGAGAGAGCAUAUGAGUAAGAUUCCCUUUUUCUCGAUAAUAGGGCCCAAUCAUUGACUCCAUGCUAUAUACCAGGCCUAAUGCUAACCUAUGCCCCUAGGUGUCACACGCAAUUUUAAGGCAAAUUCAAUUAAGAGUUCACAAGAGGGCUAUGAUAAACAUCUAAAGUAGUUUUGAAGCAUGAAGGAUCUUUUUCUAAUUCAUGGAAAAAUGAUUGACUUAAAAGCUUGAGGAUUUCAUGUAUCCUAGCUUUAAAUCAAAUCCAGAUGAUAGUAAAAUUGUUUUGGGGUUUGCCCUAAAACAAUCCAAUAACGAUUGGAAGAGUUUCAAAGAAGAGAUAACUAUUGUUACGGCCAUAAAAGUUGAAUACAUCAAUGCAAGAAAGGAUAUAAAGGAUUUUGUAUGUGUCUAGAUGUUCAGUACUUUGGGAAAGGUUCCUAGCAUAGCACAUCCUAUGGAUUUUGCUUUUUGUUAUAGCAACAGCACAAAAAAGAACUAAGGUCUCAUCAAGAUCGAAGCACAUCUUAUGACUCUUAUGUUUGAUAUGUGAAAUUAAUGAAAGAAAACAUAUUUAACAUUGGUGCAAUGACAACAUAAUGACCUAGUCACUAUAGGCUUUAAGAAAAGGUGUUCAAUCAUAACAAGAGCAGCAUGGGUAUGCUUUGCAAUGGGUGAUUGGUUGUAUUGCGAGUAGAAGAUUGUUAGAAAUAUACCCUUAAGUAAAUCAUAAAAGGAUGUGAUAGGUUUAUAGUUAGAUAAUAAUCUUAUUCUUUGAUAAAAAAUAGCAAUAAAAAGACAUUUCGUUUUAUUGUGAGCUGCUUCUUUUGUAUGAAUGCACUUAAUUGUUGCAUUCUAACAUGAUAAAAGUCUCUAAUGCACAGAAAGAAACUAGAGUUGUGAUAGAGAUCACAAUAAUGUACGUCUUAUUUCUUAGUGUUCAAAAUGUUUCAAAUAGUAGAAUACAAAAUGGGAUAGUUGCAAUCCAGUUCAUUUAGAUAUGAACUAUGCAUAUUGGUAUGUUGCUUUGUUUGUGCAUAGCAUCUAUUGAAAUUAAUUGUUAAUGCUUUUUGAUUGAACCUUCUAGUUCUAAGCUUUUGUCUCUCCAGACAUGUGCUACCCAGCUAGGUUAAGGUGAUAGACAAGUCUAUGAGGUCGUGCCAUUUGUGCAUUCUUAUUUGACUGGCUCUGAUCUGUUCGAUCUCUUGCUUUCAGGAAAAACUUUAUCAAUGGAUUUGGAGGCAACAAGAAGGAGGAUCAAGAGUAACAACAACGGACAUAGUUAAUUACAUUCAGGUUUAUUUUUUAUUAUUCUCCUUUUGUAUGAAUUUUAAUUUUCUUUGUAUAUAUGAUUUUUGUAGUUUUGCCUUUGAUAAUUUCGUGCACCAGCUCUUCCCUGUAAGAUUCCAGCCUAAAGAAGAAACUUUGGUCUCUGGAUCAUUAGGGAAAUAGUAUAAGAAAGUUGGAAUACUAGAUUUUUUAAGGCCUCCAGUGUUUGCAUAAAACACAAAUUAGUCUUCAUCAUCGCUCUCUUUAUUGUCUGACUAGACUUCAUUUUUAUCUUGUUGGGUCCUGUUUAUGAUUGAUACCUGAAUCAUUUGUUCAAAAUCUCUGAUUAACAAUAGGAAAAAGCUGGUGAAAGAUGCUGUCAUAGACAUGCAUAAAAUGCAAGGAGGUAGUCAUCUUAAUUGACAGUGGGGUCCUAAUUGGCACGCACUUGUAAAAUGUGUUGCUUGGGUAUAAUCAAUACACCUAAAAGUACUCAAAUAAUACAUUUUGAACAGGCUAAUGAUCUUUAUAUUUAUAAGUGAUAUCGUGUUCAGCUGCAAAUCUCUAUUUUUCUUUGUCAAAUAAUAAGCCAUUUUAUUAUAAGAAAUGUCUCAGAUUUUUUUUUAUUUUGUUGCAGAAUGAGGUAGAUUAUUGUGGAGAGGAGCCAUCGAUGUCCUCUAGGGCACCAGUUCAAUAUCAGCAUUCCCAACCUGCAUUGCAGACCUUUAUGGUCCCUUCUGGCUCUUCCUGCCAAGCUGGUGGGCAGGGGACUCGCCCUGAGCAGUGUGAUCAACAGUCCAAGAAUCCAGUCUUCUCCAAUGCUUUGUCAAGCCCUGUUCGUCGAGGUCUCCAGUUCUAUCACAUGCAGGGAGGUUAUUUCCAGAAUGGUGGUUUGCCUUCUGGAACUGGGAGCCGGAGUAAUGAGCCCAACUUUCUUCAGCUGCAAAACAGGGAUUCUAAUCCUCCAGGCUCCAAUGAUUCUACAAUGGACAUGCAUGCAGACUGAAACUUACCAGGUAGGACUUCACAAGCUUCUUUCCUUAAUCGCUAGUUUGUUUGUUGCUCUUGUCAGAAGGAAAACGGAGAUGCUUUACAAUGCAAAAGAAACUCAAACAUGUGGGUGACCCUCUUAAAGCUUGGCGGCGAGGAGUACAAUGUGGUGUUGCGUUCUCAUGGAGCAAACAAAAAUCCAAUGCGACAAGCACCUUUUUGUUAUGAUUUAUCGUCACAUGUAAAUCCUUGGAGUGAAUCAAUUGUCAGAACUUAUACGUGGGCAUUUCGUUUGUGAUCCUUGGUAAUCUCUAUACUAUCGUGUUUCUUAGGUCUCGUUUUUUCUGUUUGGAAGGACAGUGUAUGUAAAUUAUUCAGGUCCUAUGUAUCUGCGUAUGUAUAACGGAUUCUGGUUUUGAAGCAAAACAAGUCCUGCAAGUGGAAAAAAAAAAAAAAAAAAAAAGAAAGGGUAGAUCGAUCGUGCUUCACAGACACCAUUGUCUGUAAUUAAAUGAGUCUACACAACUUGCCUUCCAGCAAUAUAGAAUCCUAUGCGACUCCUUCUUAACCCAUAUAAUGCCUGGAAAAAUGACUGAUUUCCCUCGCUAUAUUUGACGAAGCCUUCGCUCGCUGGCUCGACCCCACAAAUCCUCCGGUCAAUCUUAAUUUAAAAAAUAAAUCAUAAUAGGGAAUAUUUUCUCAGUCCUAAGGAAUUUAUUUUUUAAAAAAAUUAAUUAUAAAUUACGGUUUUCUAAUACUGUUUCGAGCUAUGCUCACAAAUGAAAUUAGCAUUCUCGGUUGGUAAUUAGCAGCAUUCUAUAAUUUUAUGCUGUGAUUAGCUGGUGGUAAACAAUUUUUCAGUUCUACCUCUUCAAUUAUUGUGUGGUCUUAUGAAUGUCAAACUUUUUUACUACUGUUUCUUCACAUUAAAAUUUAAUUAAAAAUAAAUUACGACUACUUUUGUUUGGUUGGUGUUUUUUCUCCACUCCACUAAUCAUGAUUAGCAGAAACUAACUUUUGGCUUGAAAAUCAGUGAUUAUAUUGUCUCAGGCUUUUAACACUUCAAUUAAUUACUUUUGCUUCCAAUCAAUUCCAAUUUCCGAGCGAAGCAGAUUGUAAUUAUUGUGUCCACAUACCCCUCCAAAAAAAAAAAAAAAGUCAAAAAAAUGAAAUAUUAUGACGUCCUAAUUUAUUUAAUACACCGUCUUAAAAUAAGUAUAAAAUAGUUUUACUAAUUUUAAUUAUUUUAUAUUUAAUAUGUAUAUAUAUAUAUAUAAUCAUCAUCUUUUAUUUUUCUUUUUCUUUUUUCAAAAAGAAUUUUAAUUCCAUUAAAAAAACUCAUUACAUAAUUCUAAACUACGCUGUUCAAAUUAAAAACCUUUUAAUUAAUUAAAAGUAAUCCAUAAUUUGACUGACUAAUUAAGAUGGAUUAUUAAAGCAAAAGCCUACACCCAAAUAAAAACCAAGCUCUCAAUUACGUGCCACCCUUAUGUAAUUACACAUAUAUUUUAUAUAACAUAAUGUUUUUUUAUUAUUAUUUAAUAAAGAUACGUGUGUAUCAAUUUGGAAUAUGUAAAUCAGUGAUAUUUUAUUUGCGAAUUAUAUGUAUAUAAUACGAUAGCGUGAAAUUAUAAUAAAUAUAUAAAAAAAAAAAAGGCACGAAAAUAAAUAUGGGGCCCAUGGCUAUCAUGCGCCGUGGAGUCACUAUCUCUAUCCUUACUUUAAAUAAUUCCGUCCAGAAGUAAACCCAAUCUUUUUUGCCCUUUUUAUUUCAUUUAAUAUUUUUUCGUUUCUUACUCUCUCUCUCUCUCUCUCUCACUCUCAAUUCCUCGCCGAUUAUUUCGCGCAAAAGUUGCGAUCUAGGAUGCCGGCGCCGCCGUUCUAGUCGCCGUAUUUUCCUAGCUCAGAUCCGUCAGGUGAAUUUAGACUUUUUUCUUUUCCAGUUUGAUCUGACUUCUCUGUUUGAUCCCGAGAAAAGUUUGAGGAAAAUAUGACGGAAGAGUGAGAACUCUCUGAAUUAAACAUUCUCUUUGUUGCUGUAGUUUAUCGGUGCUUUUCUGCGUGUUUUUGUUUUUGUUUUUUUUAGCUUUUAAAUUCCAUGUUGCGUUUUUGUGUGCUUUGCUUAGCAAUCAAACAGAGGACAUGUUUGCAGCCUUUUGAUUUCUUACUUUUCCUGAUUUGUUGUUAGCAGAUCUUUAAUGUUGUUCCUGUCUAUUAUUGUUACUGAUUUACUAGUAAAUUAGUUGCUGAUAGUUUGUUUUAGGGGGACUACGACUUUCUACUUAAAGAAAUCAUGACAAUGCCCUGUAAGAAAAUUUUCCGCUAGAUUGGCCUAAGAAAUUCGUACUUUGUAUAUAAACUUUGAAAAACAGUCUUUUUCCUUUUUUUUUUUUUUUGAGAAAAUGAUCUUUUGUUUCCUAAUUCUUCUAAUGAAAUCUUUAAGCGUAGUCUCCCUCGCUUUCUACUUGUUUCUCCUUCUCAUUCUCUCUUUAUACUCGUGUUCUUUUGUUUUUCACGUUUAGGAUUAUUUUUGUUUUUUGUUUUUUCCUUUUUAUUUUCUUCCUUCAUUGAGUUGCAUUUCUUCUGCGCAUGUUUGUGUGUGUGUGUGUGUGUGCCAGAAAGAGAACAUGUUUAAUGACUUACCUACACGUAAGGACUAAAAAUUCGGUACAAGGGUUUUGUAUUUUGUUUAGCAAGACAGGAUGUUUACGCAAACGCUUGAAGGUAAAUCCUUAUGUGUGUCUCUUUCCAUGUCUCAUGCUCUUAUUCUAGGAUUGCUCAUAUCUCCACUAUAAUCCAUGGAGAUUUUGAUGCUAAUAACUAAUCUCUUACAUCCUCAACCAUUGGAAUAUUCCAUUUUGAUUCAUUUGCAUUAGUGCCACCUCUCUUCCACGUGCCUUUGGAAAUGCGAUGAUUUGACCGAAUUAAGGUACAGGUGGAUGAAGGCUUGUGGCUUAAAUUAUCGUUGAGGGCGGGAAGGUGCAUAGAAAUAAUUGUUGGAUGGCCAGAUGAACAGGACUGAUGUUAUUUGCAGUGGAAGGAGGAGGGUUCUUUUCUUCAUCAGCAUCUGGAUAUAGCAAGGGCCUGACCCUUCUUCUUUUGGGUCAGAAGGACGAGGACAAACCCAUGAGAGUUACUCCGUGGAAUCAGUACCAGUUGGUGGACCAAGAAACUGAAGCUGACCUCCAGCUGGCUUCCAUUAAGAACCGGAUUUCCCGCGGGUGUGCCUCCUUUGUCUGCUUUGGUCGCACUUCCGCAGGACUUGAUGCUCCAUCUCCUCUUAAAGUAGGCCCUGCUCAACAGCAGGAUUCCUUGCCAGGGUCACUUGUGUCUGAUAAGGGCAAGAAAAAUGCAAUUGAUCUCGAUGAUAAUAGUGAAGAUGCAAAGAAGGUUGCUCUGAAAAGUAGCUUGAGAAAGUCAUUAAAUAGCAAUUCAGCUCCUGUUGAAGGUGCUAAGGAACUCGAGGCAUUAAAUGAGAAGGGUAGUACCAUACCUGGUCAUAUGGAAAGAAGGAAAGUGCAGUGGACGGAUGCUUGUGGGAGUGAGCUCGUUGAAAUCAGAGAAUUUGAGCCCAGGUAUGAUACUACUUAACAGACUUCAGAUAAUUAGUACAUGAUGACCAUCCUUAAGUUUUAUUUAUAUUUCUAAUGUGCAACUAUGUAUAGGGUUCUGAAUUCUCUCUGUAUGCAUGUUAACAAGCUUGACUAUUAUGUUAAAUAUGGGCAUGUUCUACAUUGUAGACACCUAGGGAAAUCUAUCAUUGGAUAACCUUAGAAGAAGCGGAAUCAUAGUCAAUGGCUGCUAGUGUCUAUGCGAGAAUGAAUCCCCCCCAGUCACGUUCGCAUUUGUUGCUCAUUGUGGGUUCAGCCCACAGUCUCUGGAACAUUUCUUGGGUGGCUUAGUGGCCGAUGAAAUUUGGACUUGGAUGGCAUUCAUGCUAGCAAGAAAAGAAAGAAGUUAGUUUCCCUUAUUCGUUUGUCACUAUCUGGGUCUUUUAUUGAAGGAAAGGACCAAUAAAGUUUCUGGGGACACUAUCUCUUCUUUUGAUAGCGUUAGAUGGAGAUCAUUGGUUCUAGACCUUGAAUUUUUUUUUUAGAGGUCACUAUCUUCUAUGUGGGGAGGAUCUAAAGAACCUUAAUAAUAUUUUCUUUUCUGAUGGAAAGAUAUAAUUCUCUUGAAAGCAGCAGAACUCCUUCUGUUCCCUGUUUAUAGAUAAUAUCAUCCUUUUCCUUCCAAAAAACAAAAGAAAGAGAAAAUAUUGUUGGAACUAUUCGUAGUUUCAUGCUUCCCAGAAGCUAGUCUUAUUGAGAUCGUUUGAUAAACAAAUGGUGUUCUAUCACUUGACCUGGAGCCCACAUCACUCUUUUUAACAAAUAUUCUGAUUAUAGAAUAUCUUCUAUUUAAAUCAUUUGGUAAGAGGUUUAAACUUUCCAGUUCUGGUGAUUCAAAACUAGUUGGAAGGUCAGUCUGAUUCAUAUCUUCUCAUGGUGGGUGAUGUAGAGUAAUAUCUGCAUUUACUACUCAUUGUAUCAGGUUUCUAGUCUUUGAAAAAAGGACAACGUAAUGAUGAGCUACCAGUGAAGGAACCAGAAGUUUGGCACAUUCUCUUACUAAGUCCAUGUUGCGAUUAGGUCAAACUAAAUCUUAGAAUGACUGUUAGUGAAAAGAUUUGUUAUAUUGGAGCCAUUAUCUUGUGGACUAGUCUAAAGUUUUGGCUGCAUAAAAUUUGAUGAGAUGAAGGCUAAAGUUAGAGUUGGAAGCUUAAAGAUCUAGAUUUUGUGCUAGCUUCUUUUCUGGAUUUGUUGACUAUUCAUUGUAAUCACUAUUAGCCUUGUCUGUAGACAUUCUAUUUAGUUUUGCUUCGCAAUGAAUGCAACUAGUUGAAUUGAUCCAUGUCAAAGUAGCCUACACUUUGCAUACUGAUUUUAUAUCCUGUUGCUGUGUCUUUCUCAUUUCUCUUCUUCAAUUUGGAAAUAUAAAUGUUGUCCAAGACAAGUACAUGCCUCGAAAGAAGGAAUAGAUUGGCUACAUUUAUUUGUUGUCAUUGUUGAACAAAAUAGUCUAUUUAAAUCAUAAAUUGGUAAGAGGUUGUAAACAGUGAGAUCCGAUCUCAUAAUAUAAAUAUAUUUGGACCCGGCAUCAUUUGCAUAUAUCGAUGUUGGUCUAAAGUCAGACUUAGCUCUUGUGAACACCUUGGCUAUAUAGUAUAUCCUAUAUUCACGUGAUUGUAAUUUGUGUCAUCUGUGUCAUUAAUAUAUAUCUACACCUUGACUGUAAGUCCGUUUUAUUUUGUCUUAUCCUGUUCAAAAUUGGAGCUCAUCAUCUUCUCAGCAAAGAAAAAAUGUCAGAGCUCAUUCAACUGCCAUGUAUAUCUUCCUAGCUAGUUUCAGUAUGAUCCUGCAUGUUAUUAUUGGCGACUGAGAUUCACUGGACUGAACUCAUUGUUGCAUGAUGUUUGUCCUUGUAUCCUCAUCCAUGAAUCUGUAAACGCUACUGAGUGAUGAUGGACUUACAUGUUCCACAUAGUGUUCAUGACUUCUAUUGACACUAUUACCGGGUGAUCUUUAUUAUCAGCCAUUUUACAAAUUGGAGCUCAUCUUCAUUGGUUGUUUGUUUUCCAUAAUCAUUUGGUGUUUUGUGUAUGUUGCUGAUACUCUGAUCAAAUGGCAGUGAAACGAGUCGCUCUGAUGAUGAAUUCGAAAAUGGAACAGAAAGAAGUUGCUCCUGUACAAUUAUGUAGUGCGUCUUUCGACCAAAGCAUUGUGAGGACUUGACUUCUAAAAUGAAUUGCUAGAUCAGGUAAUCUACUGCUAAGAAGCAUUUUUGCUUGUUUUGACCGGGUUCAAGUAAUUCUCUGGGCGAAAGAAGCAAGAAUUGUGGCAUUCUACACAGAAUCCAACCAUGUUGAGAAGCUUUUUAUUUGGACAAGAGUCUCUGCUGGGUGACUGGUGAUUUCUAUCCACGUUACAUUGUUGGAGAUUUCAAUUUUGGUCACUCUGGGUUUUGUCAUAUUACAAUUCUUUGUUAUGGUGCUUGACUACAUUGUCCAUUGUUUCCUGGUAAUUAUUGUGUUAUAUUUCUUUUUUCUUCCCUUGGUGGUCCAUAAUUCUUGCACUUAUCCUUCUCAGCUUGAUUUUUUGUUAAAAGUUUAUUACACGAGGUUUGUAUUUUCGGUUCCCCCAUAGAUUGCAGUGUUAAUACAGGCAACGUAGUAUGCUUUUACAAGUAGUUCUGACUUCUGAUUUGUUUUUGUUAAAGUUUGAUUUCAUUAUGUUAUUGAGCUGAGAUGAAGAUCUGUGUUGGAUUUAUAAUUAUUAAUAUUAUAACUUCAAUGUGAAAUAUAAUAAUUUUUGAGACCCAAAAUAUUACUAUUGAGUCCUAAGGAUUAGAAAAUAGAUUUUCAAUUUCUGAAGUAGACAAUUAUAGAUGCAGUAGACUUGUAAUUAUACUGAAAUACAUUCCGAAUAUCCUCAUUAUUAUUAUUAUUAUUUUUUUACUUAUUAUUAGCUCUUUGCCAAUUAAUUGGUUCCAAAAUGACAAAAUGUCAAUAAUGCAAAAGCUAUUUAUUUCAAAACUCUUAUGUGGAUUGACACAGGCAAGAUAUUUACAUGAUGGAACGAUGUAAUGACAUUUUCUAGAGGAAUAUAAGCAUUUAAAGGCUGUUAAUGAAAACUUAGCACACACACGUACAUAUAUACAUGCCUAUAUGUGUAUGUACGUGCAUGCGAACGAUAUGAGUGGAGUUACAGAAGCUGAGAAGACGGAUGUUUGUGUGUAUUUGACAUUCAACCUUCUAUGUAUUUGUCAAUGGUAGCAGACAAGGUAGAUUUUGGUACAGCACCAAUGACACUCUCUUUCUUUUCUCCAUUCUUGAAGAAGAGAACAGUUGGUAUGCUCCUGAUUCCAUAUUUAGCAGCAAUAUUUGGGCUCUCGUCUGUGUUGACUUUGUAACAAGAAAUCUUCCCAGCGUACUCUUUGGCUAAUUCAUCAAUUGCAGGUGCAAUUAUCCUGCACGGUCCACACCAUGGUGCCCAAAACUCCACUAGAACUGGCCUUUUAUUUGCAAUCACAUUACCCUCCCAACCUGAAUCUGUCAAACUUUCAACUGCCAAUUUCACCAUACCCAAAAUCAGUUUUCUAAUUAUCAUCUUAAAGCAAGAGGGUGUUUUUCUAGCUUACCUUGAUCUACUGCUUCGCGGGCUUUGCAGACAAUCCGGGUUUUCGGGGUUCUGCUCUCGAAUGAAUAACCAAAAGAUAAAGAUGAAGACGAAGACGAAGACGAAGACGAGGGGAAGGUUAGACUAGAUUUCUUGAAGCUUUUACAUGUGGGAAAAUGAAACUUUUGAAGGGAAUAAAACGGAUGGUAAGCUCUGGGGGUGCUGCUGCACAUUGUGCUUAUUUGAAAGCAGUUCUCCAAAGCCAUUUUUCUCUCUGUUUAAAUUUUUUGAGGAGGAAAAUUUCUGUUUACGACUUGAAAGAGUUUUAAGAUGGUGGGUGAGGCAGAGAGAAAAUAGUUUUGUUAUGCAAUGGUCUGUCUUGAUUUUUAGUUCACUAGUGGAUAUAUCCUUGGAAAAUUAAACGUGAGGUCCUUAGAAUGCACAAAUUCUUGUGGAUAUAACAAUUUAUUCAGUUACCCUUUUAAUUGGAGAAAAAAGAAAACUGGAAAUGUCCAUGUCCCGGGAAUGAUUAAUAAUUUCUUUUUAAAGCGUUGGUGACCUGAAAUUCCUUCACCAUAAACUUCUCAUUCACUAACAGGGUUUGGAUAUACACUUGUUUGUCCCCAGUGUCUAAAUGCAGAGGACCUACAAUUGUUUAAACACACACACACAAACACAUGCAUACAUUACAAGUUAUUAAUACAAAAUUUUACAAGUCAUUACUUUAUUUUUAAUUCUUAAUGUUAAUAAGUUCAUGUCAUCUACAUAAAAACAGUCCAAGAUAAUUAGUAUACAGGCACAAAACUAGAUGGCCAGGUACUAAGCUGCCCAAAAAAUUACAAUGUUUAAAUAAUAACCAACUCAAACAACAUGGAACCACAAAAAAUAAGAAGGUUCUUAUAAUAUGGCAUAAAACUGGUAUACAGGCAACAGUGGGUUAAAGGAGCUUAUGGGCAACAUCCAUUGAUGCUGUGCAAGAGCUCUCAUAGGCAUGAGAGAGAGAUAGAUAGAGAGAGAGAGAGAGAGAGAGAGAGAGAGAAAGAGAGAGAGAGGGAGAACUAAAAAUACACAUGAACUAAAGGCUCCAUAUAUGCAAACCAGCCCUUUAAUUUCACUCUUCAACUCUAAAAGCAGAAAGAAAAGCUGCCUAAUUGAAUCUUUAAAUGAGGGAUGUAAAACAAGAGAACAAAAUGAAGCAACUCAAAGAUGAUUUAACAUUUCAUUGAUAGAAAACUAUGCUAUAUGUUUUACUUUCCUGAAAUUAGUACAAAGUUGGGCCCUGAAGCUAUUUUAUGGCGUGGGUACCACGAUCUAUGCACAGUGACAGGGCUAGAGGCAUUUCUAUUCUGCCCAUUCUCAUGCCGAACAACUAGCAACAUCUUCNNNNNN
RNAcentral lists this long non-coding RNA (18844 nucleotides) under Carica papaya (papaya). RNAcentral describes it as "long non-coding RNA (CPAP_LNC010550)". The record is from RNAcentral. Lineage: Eukaryota; Viridiplantae; Streptophyta; Magnoliopsida; Brassicales; Caricaceae.